Molecule: ribosomal RNA, 463 nt
Filed under: uncultured bacterium
Lineage: Bacteria
Description: partial 16S ribosomal RNA
Rfam family: Bacterial small subunit ribosomal RNA
Source: RNAcentral
GACGAACGCUGGCGGCGUGCUUAACACAUGCAAGUCGAACGGAAAGGCCUUUUCGGAGGUACUCGAGUGGCGAACGGGUGAGUAACACGUGGGUGAUCUGCCCUGCACUCUGGGAUAAGCCUGGGAAACUGGGUCUAAUACCGGAUAGGACCGCACUUUAGUGCGUGUGGUGGAAAGUUGUUUCGGUGUAGGAUGAGCCCGCGGCCUAUCAGCUUGUUGGUGGGGUAAUGGCCUACCAAGGCGGCGACGGGUAGCCGGACUGAGAGGUUGGGCGGCCACAUUGGGACUGAGAUACGGCCCAGACUCCGACGGGAGGCAGCAGUGGGGAAUAUUGCACAAUGGGCGCAAGCCUGAUGCAGCGACGCCGCGUGGGGGAUGACGGCCUUCGGGUUGUAAACUCCUUUCGCCAGGGACGAAGCGUUUUGUGACGGUACCUGGAGAAGAAGCACCGGCUAACUACGUG